AUGUGGAGAAGCUGGGAUCCCUGUCCUGAACUACCCCCUGUAUCCUACCAUGGACAGGAGGAAGGUGGGGAAGCUGGGAUCCUGAUCCUGAGUUACCCCUGUAUCCCACCAUGGACAGGAGGAAGGUGGGGAAGCUGGGAUCCUGAUCCUGAGUCACCCCUGUAUCCCACCAUGGAGGGGGGAGGUGGGGAAGCUGGGAUCCUGAUCCUGAGUCACACCCUGCAUCCCACCAUGGAGGGGGAAGGUAGGGAAGCUGGGAUCCUGAUCCCAAGUCAUACCCUGCAUUCCACCCUGGAGGGGGAAGGUGGGAUGAGCACCCGUCAGCCAGAUGUCUGGGUCCUUGCUCUGCUGUCCAGCAGCUCUCUGGCUCUGAGCAGGUCCCUAAAUGGUCCCAACCCUUUGUCUUCUACUCUGCAAGAUGAGAAGACUACUGUCAGCUUUGAAGAGGGAUUAUAAGGAAUUAAGGACACACACCAAAGCCCAUUAGAAAGCAAUUGAAAUGGAAGAGAUGACCACAGUUCUCAUCAUCUCUGCAUUUAUUUGACCCCACACUACUUUUUCAAGGGGCUGGGAAGGAGAGGGAAGGCAUCCGAGCGUCCUACCGCACAGAGUAACAAUGGCAGCUAAGUCAGAACGGAGCCUCUUACAAUCGCAUCUAACACGCGUCUUCCCCGUGCAAAGCACCCAUCACCAUCGUCUCAGGGACUCUCAUAACAGCCCUGUCAGGUUGGCAUUUGCGUCCUUCCCCUUUGACAGACAAGUCCACGGAGACUCAGAAAAGUCCAGUGAGCUGCUCAGAGUUAAGCAAUACAGGCAGUAAGUGACAAAGUGGGAGUGACUCAAGCCAGUGCCACUGCAGAGCCUGCACCUCCACCCCGAGGGUGGCCCUCACAAGGACCUGAGGAGGAAGGCUCGGUGAUGGCUUCCCAAAGAUGUCCUCAUCCUCAUCUCCAGAAUAUUCUGUGAUGACGUGACCCCGGACAGCAAGAAGGAGACCAUGUCAAUAUGAUUAGGUUGAGGGUCCUGGGAUGGGGGAAGCCCAUGAACCAGUCACAGGUGUCCCUACAAAAAGAAGGUGGGAGAGUCAGAGCCACAGAGGAUACAGGGCUGCGAUGAUGAGGAAGGGGCUUCCAGAAAAGGCAAAAUCCCAAUGCUGGUGACAGCUUCCUUUUGGCACUUCUGAGCUCCAGAACCACAAGUGUAGACAUGCGACUCACAUCACACGCUGUCUGUUGUGUGAGCGCAGCAGUGGGCAGACCAGAGCGUCUGAGCACAUGGACAGGGGUUUUCCCUACAGCAGCGCUGUCCAAUAUGGCAGCCAAGAGCCGUGUGUGACUGCUGAAGUGGUGGCACUCAAAGUGAAUUAGGAUUUAGCCGCACUAAGCCGUGUUCCCCGUGCCUGGUACCAUUCAUUCUGAGCGGCAGCUGUGUGGGAUGGCGUGGGCACAGAACAUCUCUAUCAUCACAGAGCACCUCCUGGAUAUGGCUGUGCUGGAGAGAGAGUGGCCAUCUCCGUACCUGCAGGUCCCCCCACUAGAACAGCACAAAGUGUCCACGGGGUGCCGUGGGAGAUGGAGACAGACUGCCUGGCUUCAGACCCCAGCCCUGCCACUUCCUAGCUGACUCAACCAUGAACUGUGAUAACUGAACCCAGUCCAGGGGCUCGCUCUGAAUGCUAUAUGUGGACAUUGCAAGGGAAAUGUCUCAGGGCAGAGUCUGACACAAAGCACUGGGCAUCAAUAACACUGACUAGGGGCCAGUGAUGUGGCACAGUGGGUCAAGUCGUCACUUGAAGUGUCGGCAUCCCAUAUGGGCACCCAGCUGCUCCACUUCUGAUCCGGCUCUUUGUUAUGGUCUGGGAAAGCAGUAGAAGUUGGUGCAAGUGCUUGGGCCCUGACACCCAUGUGGGAGACCUGGAGGAAGCUCCCAGUUCCUGGCUUUGUAUCGGCCCAGCUCCAGCCAUUGCAUCCAUUUGGGGGUGAACCACUGGAUGGAAGACCUCCCCUCCUUUGCCUCUGCCUCUCUGUAACUAUGCCUUUCAAAUAAAUAAAAAUAAAUAUUUUUUAAAAAAUUAAAA
Long non-coding RNA from Oryctolagus cuniculus (rabbit), 2077 nucleotides. The record is from Ensembl. Lineage: Eukaryota; Metazoa; Chordata; Mammalia; Lagomorpha; Leporidae.